RNAcentral lists this ribosomal RNA (236 nucleotides) under uncultured bacterium. RNAcentral's name for it is "partial 16S ribosomal RNA". It matches the Rfam family "Bacterial small subunit ribosomal RNA", at positions 1264 to 1500 of the family's 1533-position model. The record is from RNAcentral.
GGAGCAAAUCCCCAAAAAGUAGUCCCAGUUCGGACUGCAGUCUGCAACUCGACUGCACGAAGUCGGAAUUGCUAGUAAUCGCGGAUCAGCAUGCCGCGGUGAAUACGUUCCCGGGCCUUGUACACACCGCCCGUCACACCAUGGGAGCCGGUAAUACCCGAAGUCAGUAGUCCAACCUCGUGAGGACGCUGCCGAAGGUAGGAUUGGCGACUGGGGUGAAGUCGUAACAAGGUAGC